UCUCUUUCCGAUAUGAGGUUGGAAGUUUGAUACAAACAUUUUAUUUUAACUGGGCUUUUUUAUUUAGUAUUGAAUAAUGCUAAUUAGUACGAUAACAUUUUUUCGUUCUAAACGCAUGAAUUGAAAGGCCUUAUUAUUAUACACGUUUGACCCAAUCAAUUAGUACUUCUUUCCAAUCUUCCAUUAUUUUGUUUUCAUCUCCGAUAUCAACUUUCAAUCGGAAUUGAGACCAGCCAUUAACGGUUUUUUGGCUGGUAAACAUAACUUUAUUCUAUUGAAUGUUAAAAGCCUCCAAUGACUUCCUUAACAAAAAAGAAAGCCUUCAAGGACAGCGAUGAUGGCUCUCUUCUCUUGGAUGGUAAAAACCAAAUAUAUUUACAAGCAUUCUUCCUUGUGGCUUUGCAAUAA
RNAcentral lists this long non-coding RNA (408 nucleotides) under Medicago truncatula (barrel medic). RNAcentral's name for it is "lncRNA gene47447". The record is from RNAcentral. Lineage: Eukaryota; Viridiplantae; Streptophyta; Magnoliopsida; Fabales; Fabaceae.